GGGGGCGUAAUGGUUUCGACGGGGUUGUUGAGACCGAAGAAGCGGGUAGAGGAUUCUCGUUGGCCUCUUAAAAAAACGGGAAAUGCAAGUAAUUGCAGACAAGAAUACACAACUCGUAGCUGCUUAAGUCAGCUAUGCAUCCUUCCGUCCGAUCUGCUGGACGGGCCUUGGAUGUCAGAUAGCAGACCUUACCUGUCGGCAGGAUAAACAGGGAAACGCCGCGUGAUAAGCUUUGCCAACGCGAUGUAAUUAUGAAGCUACCGGACGCAUCGGCCUGUCAGCGGGCUUGAUGAACAGGGGAAUACUCUAAUCACUGACUGCACCCGGAGACGCUUCGGUGGAAAUGGUUUCGGACAGGAGUUCGACUCUCCUCGCCUCCACCA
RNAcentral lists this transfer-messenger RNA (383 nucleotides) under Clostridiaceae bacterium. It matches the Rfam family "transfer-messenger RNA". Rfam says of the family: Bacterial tmRNA, also known as 10Sa RNA or SsrA, is named for its dual tRNA and mRNA-like properties. The record is from RNAcentral. RNAcentral also lists the same sequence under 1 other name. Lineage: Bacteria; Bacillati; Bacillota; Clostridia; Eubacteriales; Clostridiaceae.